This 1515-nucleotide ribosomal RNA is filed under the name uncultured marine bacterium. RNAcentral describes it as "bacterial SSU rRNA". It matches the Rfam family "Bacterial small subunit ribosomal RNA". The record is from RNAcentral.
GCCGUGUAGUUUGAUUAGAAACAAAGCGAACGAUGGGGGCACGCUUAACACAUGCAAGUCGAACGAGAAACCCGAGCUUGCUCGGGUGGACAGUGGCAAACGGAUUAGUAACGCGUGGGUAUCAACCUAAAGGUUUGGAACAACUAUUGGAAAAGAUAACUAAUACCAAAUAUUCCAUAAGGGGGAAAGAUUUAUCGCCUUUAAAUGAGCCCGCGUCGGAUUAGCUUAUUGGUAGGGUAAAGGCCUACCAAGGCAACGAUCGGGUAUCUGGUCUGAAAGGAUGAUCAGCAAGAUUGGGACUGAAACACGGCCCAGACUCCUACGGGAGGCAGCAGUAGGGAAUAUUGCGCAAUGGGGGAAACCCUGACGCAGCGAUCCCGCGUGAGUGAAGAAGGCCUUAGGGUUGUAAAACUCUUUCACCGGUGAAGAUAAUGACGGUAGCCGGAGAAGAAGCCCCGGCUAACUCCGUGCCAGCAGCCGCGGUAAUACGGAGGGGGCUAACGUUGUUCGGAAUUACUGGGCGUAAAGCGUGCGUAGGCGGAUUAGACAGUUGAGGGUGAAAUCCCGGAGCUUAACUCCGGAACUGCCUUCAAUACUACUAAUCUUGAGUUCGGAAGAGGUGAGUGGAAUUCCUAGUGUAGAGGUGAAAUUCGUAUAUAUUAGAAAGAACAUCAGUGGCGAAGGCGACUCACUGGUCCGAUACGGACGGUGAGGUGGGAAAGCGUGGGGAGCAAACGGGAUUAGUUUCCCUUUUAUCCACGCCGUAAACGAGUGAAGUUAGUUGUCGGGCGCCAUGCCGUUCGGUGACACAGCUAACGCAUUAAGCUUCCUGCCCGGGGAGUACGAUCGCAAGAUUAGAACUCAAAGUAAUUGACGGGGGCCCGCACAAUCGGUGGAGCAUGUGGUUUAAUUCGAAGCAACGUGCAGAACCUUACCUGCCCUUGACAUCCCUGUCGCAGAAAGUAGAGAUAUUUUCUUUCAGUUAGGCUGGACCGGUGACAGGUGCUGCAUGGCAGUCGUCAGCUCGUGACGUGAGAUGUUGGGUUAAGUCCCGCAACGAGCGCAACCUUCUCCUUUCGUUGCCAUCAUUAAAUUGGGCAGUUUAGAGGGAAAGCCGGUGAUAAGCCGGAGGAAGUUGGGGAUAACGUCAAGUCUUCAUGGCCCUUAUGGGGUGGGCUACACACGUGCAACAAUGGAUCUUACAGAGGGCAGGUAGCUCGCGAGAGUAAGCUAAUACCAAAAAGGCGCCUCAGUUCAGAUUGCACUUUACAACUGGAGUGCAUGAAGUCGGAAUCGCUAGUAAUCGUGGAUCAGCUUGCCACGGUGAAUACGUUCCCGGGCCUUGUACUCACCCCCUGUCACUCCAUUGUAAUUGACUUUACCCGAAGGUAGUGUGAUAACCGUAAGUUCGCAUCUAACCACGGUUUCCUCUAAACCGUGUGAAGUCGUCCCAAGGUAACCAAGGUUGUUUCUCACAUUCCAUCACACACCGGCCGCUCGAGCACCCUCUAGAGG